AGUGGUGGCCGGGUGGUAACGGCACCAAGUUAUCAACCUGGAAAUGUGUGUUCGAGUCCCACCACCACCG
Molecule: transfer RNA, 70 nt
Filed under: Echinostoma caproni
Lineage: Eukaryota; Metazoa; Platyhelminthes; Trematoda; Plagiorchiida; Echinostomatidae
Rfam family: tRNA
About the family: Transfer RNA (tRNA) molecules are approximately 80 nucleotides in length. Their secondary structure includes four short double-helical elements and three loops (D, anti-codon, and T loops).
Source: Rfam by way of RNAcentral